Molecule: non-coding RNA, 143 nt
Filed under: Bacillus pumilus
Lineage: Bacteria; Bacillati; Bacillota; Bacilli; Caryophanales; Bacillaceae
Description: FMN sequence
Rfam family: FMN riboswitch aptamer (RFN element)
About the family: The RFN element is a highly conserved domain that is found frequently in the 5'-untranslated regions of prokaryotic mRNAs that encode for flavin mononucleotide (FMN) biosynthesis and transport proteins. This element is a metabolite-dependent riboswitch that directly binds FMN in the absence of proteins.
Source: RNAcentral
UGUAUCCUUCGGGGCAGGGUGAAAAUCCCGACCGACGGUAAUAAAGCAAAUGCUUUACAGCCCGUGACCCGUUAAUUUUAUUAACGGUUGAUUCAGUGAAAAGCUGAAGCCGACAGUGAAAGUCUGGAUGGGAGAAGGAUAAA